This is a long non-coding RNA of Vigna unguiculata (cowpea), 1393 nucleotides long. Lineage: Eukaryota; Viridiplantae; Streptophyta; Magnoliopsida; Fabales; Fabaceae. The record is from RefSeq and is a predicted model, not a curated record.
UAGCCACUCACUUCUUAUUCUGUCUUCUCUUUUUCCAAACAGUUCAACUUUCUUCAUCCCCUCGUCAAACAGAAGCUCUGCUAGGACUUGAGCUACGACCUCCUCCGAGCUUAUUGAAUGCUCCUCCUCCAUAUCUGGAAGCUCAAAUUUCAAUAGCAAUGAUUGCUGCAAUAAGUGGGGUGUAAAGAACAAAAGUAAAGAAUUAGAAAUUAUAAAGUUUCUGGGUCUUGUUGGGUACACUAUUAUUAUUCUAUUGUUAAUCAUAAACUGUUUUUCAAAUCAAGCUUACUUACAGAAGUAAGUUUCCAGAAAAAACCUUAGUUCAUCUUCCAUCUUGAGAUUUUUUGGAUUCAAAAGACUAAAGUAGGGUUCAAAUGAAUGAUGACCAAAAUAUCUAAAUGAGUCAAAGUGAGUAUUUGGUGGCCAAAGUUAACAACAAAGGUAUGCACUUUAUUUUGUAGGUCGUUCCCUCUCCUUUUACCAACUGCUUUAGCCUUGUCAUCAUUAUCAGCUACUGUAUACCAUCACCAACCAUUAACUUGUUAUCCUAGUAGCUAAAUAUAAGAAAACAGUGAAUGUAGAAUCAUUUUUCCACACAGCAGCACAAGACCAUGCUCCAUGGCAAACAAAUCAUAUCAAAGAGAAAGGUAUGCUUUGCCUCCAUCAAAUUGAUUCUGUAACUAUAUGACAAACCAUAUCAAAGAGAAAGGAAUCAGGAUGCUACUGAUUACACAGCAAGCUCUGUACAGAAUUCGGACAAAAUGCUGAUUGCUGGAUUGGAGAAAAACAAACCCAGAACAAUAUCAAAACAAAAACAAACCAAAGAAUGACACACUAAGCAAUCCAAUUUUAUGUGCAAGUUUCAAAAAGGUAACUUUUGAGAUGUUAGAUAUGUUGGUGGCGGCAAGAAUGUAUCAUAACAUUCUUGGGGAGCAGCAUAUGCCUUUCAAAACUUUAGGCAGAGUGAAACUGUAAUUUUUCUCCAGAUGAGAAAGUAGGAUUCAAAACGGAUCAAUAUUUGUAUCUCAGAUGGUUCAUAGACUUGGUAGUAGGGCUCUUUUGCAAGGUGGCGGUUGAGAUGAGUCGGCACUUGGGUUGAUGGAUGGAGAUUCCACUCCUAGAGUUUUCCUUAGGAAGUUCCUUUCCUGAAAGAACAAGUGUAAAAAUAAAGCACACGGAUGACUUACACUUUCAGAAAAUUGUGGGCUGGGAAUUCCUGCUGCCAAGGAUCUGAACAGAGGGGUUACUUGAAUAGGGGAGCUGAACUCCAAUCUUGAUGAGUACAAAGAACCCCUUUAUCAUCUCUGCCUACUCCUUUUUCAUCUCCAACUUGUUCAGACUUCAUUUCAGUUCCAAUAUCUUGAUGUAAUGUGUGCUCUGAAUUAUCACCGGC